Molecule: long non-coding RNA, 2198 nt
Organism: Tripterygium wilfordii
Lineage: Eukaryota; Viridiplantae; Streptophyta; Magnoliopsida; Celastrales; Celastraceae
Exons: 3
Source: RefSeq, a predicted model, not a curated record
CUUGCAGUUUUGGUUUGCUAUAAACACGAAAUGGAUUGUGUUACGCUCGAAUUAAAUUUGAAGUUGCUAUUGAACUGGUUAGGUCGUUUCAUAUAACUGGAAAUGAUGGAAUCUUCUUACAUUAUUGGUCUCUAUUCAGUGUAUAAUUUGACUGAACACUAUUCUUUUUUGCUUUUUUUUUUUCUUCUAGCUAUACUGAGAUGGAAAUUGCUGUUCCAGAUAUUGAGAAUUUGCUGUUCCGGACAUCUGUGUAUGCUUACCUUUGCUUCCAUUAUGUAACUCGGUUGCAGGACAGGUAAAAAUCAAUGUACAUGCUAUGCAAUUUUCUCAUGUAAGAAGAUGAUCUGAUUUUAAGGAUGAUAUUAAAAGUACUACUCUUGUGGCUUUGCUUCGUCUGCUGGAAAGCUGUUUCGCAUUCAACAGCGUAUUUCUUCGUCACGCAAGAAGGUCUAUUCUUAUUGAAGCGACUUGAUGCUUUUUGCAUAAUGUGUGGCGCUUAUUAGUCUGUUUUCUUCUUGCACUGCCACUCUUUCUGUUUGAUGUAUUGGGGCUUUUCGCAAUUGAGUAUACCCGAAUUUAGUGUGCAAGAAUAGGAGUCCUACACUCUUCGGAGUCCCUAGAGAGAACUCUGCAUAUGGAGGCUGCUGAAUUUUGCAGUGAAUCAAAAAACGACUUUUCAUUCAUUCUUGUGGAUGCAAAGCCCUCAGUACCCUCCGCAGAUAUUAUAAACCCCUUGCACGAAGGUUUGGGAAUCCUGGAGACUUCAAGUCUUCCAUUUGAGGGUUUCUCAGUUCCAGACACUUUGAAUCUUGUUCAUGAAGAUUUCAGUCCCUGAAGCUUCAAAGGAAGUCGAUGCUGUCUCCCAUAAUGUGAACUUAAUAUGGAUGUGGCAAUCAUACAUGUCCCUGAGGAAGCAGAUAGUGUUUCCAACAGUCAUGAAAGUAGAAUGCCUGUAGUUAAGAUCAGGGUCAAAAGAUCUGCUACAAGUAGUGAGGCAGCGGAGGUCAAUAAUCAAGCUGUUGAAACUUGAAAGAUCCUAAGGUGGGCACCAUGAAAUCGAACAUGGGGCCACCAGUUCUUGUUUUUGUGGAUGCUCCCCAAGUUAUUCUGCUUAGGCAAUGAGCAUAAGCAAUUAGAAUCUCAAGGAGGUCAAUUCAUGUCCUGACCACGGCUCCAGAAUGACUGCUAGCAUCGGCAGUGCAAAAGUUGGAACUUGCAAGUGAAGGUGAAAAUUCAGGGAAGGACCUUCAGUGCAUUUGCAGACUUGAGCAAAGUUUUUGCACGCAGAUCGUCCCCUGGCAUCAUGCAAGAUAACAAUAUAAGCAAUGGGGCACAGAAAUAUGCAAGCCUACAAAGACCGUCCGUGCCUUGACAUGAGUUGAAUGUUGGUUCAUAUGGUAUGAUUUCUCCACCUCAUCAUGGCAAAGAAAAAGAGAAAAAGGGAGAGAAAGAAAAGAAACGGAAGCGGGAAGGCCACAUACAUCGAGAUGAUCCUGAACAUCUAGAGCGAAAGCGUCUGAAGAAAGAAAGAGAGCAAAAGGAAAAGGAGGUAGUAAUUGGCAAGGCUUCUGAGUGAUAAUAUGAAGGCAUAUCAGUCACAGUUGUAGAACAAAACAAGAGGAAGCAAGCAUUCAGGCUCGAACUGUGCGAUUGAAACCAAAUGAAGCUAGUGGAUCAGCCGUAGCAAUCACAAAGGUUGAAAGAAGGGCUGAGCCAUCUGAGGGACAACUAGCCCAGGGCGGCGGCAACAAUCAAUUCAUCCUUGCUUUCUUAUGACAUCCUGCAAAAAGAGUUGAUGAAGCUGUAGAAUGGGUCAUUUUGAUUUUUAUAUCACCCUCAAGUAAGGAUUGUUUUGUGAGUUUUCACUUCCAGUGUUUGUAUAUAUCUUUGCUUGGAGUUGAUUUCUCAUUAAUUCUUGAUUGUUUCUCAUGAAUCAAUGUUUUGAAAUUCUUGUAAUUGGAGUUGGAUUCAUGAACAGUUAUGGAGGGAGGUGGAACUAUGGGAGAUUAGUUUCUGCAUGUAUGAAGAAGACAAAUACACUAGGCGUUAGAAAAAGGGCUCUCACUUUUUUUGGCUAAGCUUUGUUGUACCAUCUCCUCAUAUAACCACUAAUGACUAAACACCUCGGUGUAACCCCUUGUCAUCUGCAGCUUUUAACUGCACAGUCAGUGUUAACACAUUGAAUAUUUGAAUGUGAA